RNAcentral lists this ribosomal RNA (2665 nucleotides) under Triticum aestivum (bread wheat). RNAcentral describes it as "partial small subunit ribosomal RNA". The record is from RNAcentral. Lineage: Eukaryota; Viridiplantae; Streptophyta; Magnoliopsida; Poales; Poaceae.
GAGGUGGGGGGCGGAGCCCUAGAGGAGGGCCAGGUCCAGGAAGGCCUGGUUAAGGGAACAAAAGGCGGCGGUGGAGAGCUAGGAGUAGGUAGGAAGGGUGUCGGUAAGGAGUACGUUGGCUCGAGGAGAGUAAGGGGUACCUGUGCAGGCCGGAGGUCGAUGGAAGCAGGUUGCUGCCGGUCCUCGGGGCGCUCGUCGUUGAGACGGGCUCGGCGAGUACACGCGGAGGGACGUGCUCGAGGAGCUGGAGCGGCGGUCGUCAUCGUCGUCGACGUGGGAGAGCCGCGGCGGCCGUGGUGCAGCUGGGGCGGCCUCGACGCAGUUGGGCCGCUGGGGGUUCUCGAGAGGCAGAACCAGACUCGAGAGAGAGCUCCAGGGCAGCGUCAGCAGGAGAUGUCGGCGACGAGGCGGCGGAACGGGCGACCAGCGGCCGUCGGCGGAAGCAGGCGCCGGUGUCUUCGGUCGUUGUCGCGAUGGGGCAGGCUCGAUGAAGCGGGCUCGUGGGUACCUCUCCCGGAGGGCUCGGAGGAGCACGCCGAGGUGGAGCUCGAAGGGGCGGGGCCUAGGUCGGCGGGGACGAAGGGUAGCGCGGAGGGGCGGAACCUAGGCCAGCAGGGGCGCUGCAGGGACGGCGGUUCAGGUGCGGUGCCGGAGACGAAGGAGAAGUAGCUCGUCCUCGAGACGAACUGGGCGCACGAACCUCUAGCUCGUCGACGCGAGCAAGAGCUCUCGCAACUGAUCCGGGUCGGUGUUCGGGGCGCCGGGUCGAGGGUGGAGUGGCUGGCCCGGCUUUGGGUACCAAGGCCAAUACAACGCUAACACUCCUAAGCAAGUCAAUACAACCAAGCAGAUGAAGUACCUAAGCCAGAAGAAGGAUCGCCUUAAAGUCCGUUCUACUGGCAGUGGAACCUAGAGUGAUGAUAGAAACGAUACGAUCAACAGAACUACAACAGCGAUACAGCGCGAUGGGUGGUGAACAAAUAGUUCGGAGGGUUUAACGGGACUAUCGGAGAUUGGAAAAGGUGGUAGGAUCGUUUGGUAACAAACCGAUACAAUGGCGAAACGAGUCGGGGAGAAUAUCGCAACGAUCAACAUCCACGUCAACGUCCAACAAGGUACAACCCUGUACCUAUAGUACCCUAUAGUGUUAUAGAGAAUAAAUUAAUUGCGUAGAUAUAUGAACCAUUUCCCACCUUCCGAGCCGGAAAACGGACCACAAAACAAGGUGAAAACAGCAGAAUCAAAAGCAGUAUGGCCACAAUACAAGGAACUAAAACGCAGGGAUUGUGCUACUCCCAAAUACCCGAGGAGAACUGUCAAGCGAAACUUAUUUUGAGAAGGUCGUUCCGGGUUGUAACCAAAAUGGUAAAGGGGUUGUAUUAUUGAUUUGAACUAUUAAUUAAUUAAUCGUAUCCCCCAGCGCAGGGGUUCCUAAGAAAGUUGUAUUAUGUCCCCCGGGUCACGACUACCACAACCAGGGUUUUGUCUCGGUGAACACCACGGCGGGGAAGUGGACCCCAUAAACCAACGGCAUGCAUCACAAGUAGGCCUGCACCGGACUCUGCUCUAUGUGCACCGAUGAUAGUCCCACAGCCGUGCGGCCCUCCAGAACGACCUGAACAAAAUGGUAACAGCUUUACAGAACACGUGGUCCUAGGGCUCAGACUAGCCUACAGGGCGCUACCUCCUAACAGAGGCACCUAGUACUCGAACAGUACCCGAUUCAACCUUGUGGGGACGUCCUAAAUUUGAAAGCUCUCGGCACAGGGGCCAAUACACCGUCUACCCUUAAAAAUUAUAGGCCAACAUCUCUUGAACUGUGGUCUAGGCUUAAUUUUAUGUGGUUGGCGCACGCAUUGGCACUGGCAUAGAAAAGCUCACUCAAGCUCUUCUCUUGUGCCACCCCAAUACAAACUGAGCAUUCAUCAAGUCCUAGUGAAUAACUAGUAAUGAUCAAGUGCUGGCAAUACGCAUCAUUGAGAAGAAUGAGAACAUGAGCAUUCAAUCGGUGGUAUGUUUACGAAUCACGAACGAUGUUGGAGUGGUGAUAGGUAAGGUAUGGGUAAUUCGAAACCAUCAGAACUAUGGGUACCAUUACCCUAACGACUCAGGAGCACCGAGUGUAUAAUGAUGUUGUUGUCAACGUCCAUGCCCAUUACGCUACUAGACUGCACUCCACUACGAACUAACGAAAACCUCAAGAAGAAGAAGUUAGUUCCCUAAUCCAAGGCCCAGCCCCUCGGACCCUAAUCGUCCCACCUACAGCAAGAAGAAAAAACAAACUAAAGUAGGCAUCAGCCUAGGACGAGAAGACAUACUACUAACGAUACUUAACUACAUAACUACAUAAGUACAACACCGAACACCUCUCACAUUCAGAAAUAGAACAUAAGAGUAGAUAAGUCAUGUACCAUACAACAUUACUAUAGGUGGAACGAUACGCGAGUUUUACGCCAACACGGGUCUAGUACUUAAGUAGUGCACUAACCCUAUCUUAGCGUAGAACCCGCGCUGUCUAUCGAGGGUUGCCAAGUGAGGAGAGCAAGAGCGGUAUGGCGAGGACAAAGGAACCUUGGUUGAUCUUUAGGGACGGUUGUUCGAAACUUUGACUGUUUUCGAGAGGAUUUAGUAAGCAAGAGGUAACAGAACGGAGGGCGAAACACAG